UUAACGUACAAUGUCGGUAAGAGCAUCCUUUGAGGGCUUUAAACGUUGAUUAGCAUGUGCGCCCUUGUGCAUUUUUUUUGCGUUAAUCAUUAGAAGAUCACAAAACACACGGUUUCUAUGCCGUACCCGUCUGCGUUUUUUUUUACGUUAAUGACCCAUAAGUCAGUUAGCUGUGCAAUAUCUCUACUCCUAAUGUCUCAGUUGAUAGUCUUCGUCGGUUAAUUUUCGUCCAACCUCCCCUAGUUUAUUUUCGUCCCACUUCCUUAGUUUAUUUUCAUCCUCCCCCCACCUCACAGGUAGACAUAUCAACAAAAAAAACCACCAGCGAUCCCUCCACGUCCGUCGAUCCAAGGACAGACCUCCCGUCGCACCAGAGAAAAAGGGCCGAAAAAAAACUAUGAAAAAAAAAACCAGCGAUCGCUCGCACAUACGAGCGAGGCUCCUCUGCCUUCGAGCGAGAACCAGUCGCAUGCACGACUCGUUCGGCACCGCAGCCGCUCCAUCCCUUCGCCCACGCCGCUUCAUCCCUUCGCCGCCGCCCUCCACUUCAGGAGACGCAGCCGAUCCCGUUGAGGAUCCGCCGCCCUCGCACGUCAGAGCCGCCGCCCUCGCACGUCAGAGCCGGCGACGGUCCCCUUCAGGAGGACGCCGAUCCCCCAGAUCCGGCGCUGCUCCCGUUGAGGGCCUGUCGCCGAUCGCAUCCAGGUUCCCCCGACGAGAUCAUUGCGGAUAUAGGAGACAUAGAUAUGGAUUUUGGAGACGUUCAAAAAGAUUCCAUCAACAAGGGUUCUGAAGUGACGUCGCUGGAAGGGGCCGAAAAUUCACCGAGUUUUUUUUACAGCGGUGAUAUAUCUCAUAAAAAACAUAAAAUGAUGCCAAUUUAAAUGUUAUCGCACAAGUUAUUGCUUUCAAUGUUAUUACCAAUCUUCCUCUGUCAUAUUGACUUUUGUAUUCAACUACUUUGGCUCAUUUUUUUAUAUUCAUUUGGCUCAUUUUUUUAUAUUGAUUUGGCUCAUUUUUUUAUCAUGCCGACAAACUAUGUUUGUACCCCUAGAGAUAUUACAGUCAUCGAAUCAAUCAUGUUCGCCACCAUGAAAACCAAGUUCAUGGACAUUGGAGAUGCCUUGUUAUCAAUUGACGAUUUGGAAUGCUUUAAGA
Aegilops tauschii subsp. strangulata is the source of this 1158-nucleotide non-coding RNA. The record is from RefSeq and is a predicted model, not a curated record. Lineage: Eukaryota; Viridiplantae; Streptophyta; Magnoliopsida; Poales; Poaceae.